Molecule: ribosomal RNA, 253 nt
Filed under: uncultured bacterium
Lineage: Bacteria
Description: partial 16S ribosomal RNA
Rfam family: Bacterial small subunit ribosomal RNA
Source: RNAcentral
UACGUAGGGGGCAAACGUUGUCCGGAUUUACUGGGUGUAAAGGGUGCUCAGGCGGUCUUGUAAGUUAGAAGUGAAAUCCUAGGGCUCAACUCUGGAACUGCUUUUAAUACUGCAAGGCUUGAAUAUGGAAGAGGAGGGUGGAGUUUCUGGUGUAGCAGUGAAAUGCGUAGAUAUCAGAAAGAACACCAGUGGCGAAGGCGGCCCUCUGGUCCAUUAUUGACGCUAAAGCACGAAAGCGUGGGGAGCAAACAGG